Non-coding RNA from Astatotilapia calliptera (eastern happy), 276 nucleotides. Ensembl annotates it as small Cajal body-specific RNA 6. Lineage: Eukaryota; Metazoa; Chordata; Actinopteri; Cichliformes; Cichlidae. The record is from Ensembl.
GGUCAGUGAUGUCAUGUAAAAGGUCUGAAGCUCAGCUCUUCCCCCUCGCGGCCACCAUUUUGGCUCCCAGCAGCCCGGCUCUCUGCUGCCAUCGUGCUCUAGUGGUGCGGCGAUGGUCUCGGCAGCUGCUGACACACAGGAUGUGACAUCACUGCGAGGUCUGUACAGAGCUCCUACAGCUUCUCUGUGAUGAUGUCAUCCAACAAAACCAAUCAGCAUGGAGCAUCAGGCCGAGGGGUGGGGUCUGAGCAGUGAUCUCACACCUGUUCUGAGGCC